UGUUAUUAUACCAUUGUUUCA
Molecule: non-coding RNA, 21 nt
Filed under: Caenorhabditis elegans
Lineage: Eukaryota; Metazoa; Nematoda; Chromadorea; Rhabditida; Rhabditidae
Source: RNAcentral